This 499-nucleotide ribosomal RNA is filed under the name uncultured bacterium. RNAcentral describes it as "bacterial SSU rRNA". It matches the Rfam family "Bacterial small subunit ribosomal RNA", at positions 551 to 1048 of the family's 1533-position model. The record is from RNAcentral.
UUACUGGGCGUAAAGCGUGCGCAGGCGGUUUGUAAGACAGAGGUGAAAUCCCCGGGCUCAACCUGGGAACUGCCUUUGUGACUGCAAGGCUGGAGUGCGGCAGAGGGGGAUGGAAUUCCGCGUGUAGCAGUGAAAUGCGUAGAUAUGCGGAGGAACACCGAUGGCGAAGGCAAUCCCCUGGGCCUGCACUGACGCUCAUGCACGAAAGCGUGGGGAGCAAACAGGAUUAGAUACCCUGGUAGUCCACGCCCUAAACGAUGUCAACUGGUUGUUGGGUCUUGACUGACUCAGUAACGAAGCUAACGCGUGAAGUUGACCGCCUGGGGAGUACGGCCGCAAGGUUGAAAACUCAAAGGAAUUGACGGGGACCCGCACAAGCGGUGGAUGAUGUGGUUUAAUUCGAUGCAACGCGAAAAACCUUACCCACCUUUGACAUGUACGGAACUUGCCAGAGAUGGCUUGGUGCUCGAAAGAGAACCGUAACACAGGUGCUGCAUGG